Molecule: long non-coding RNA, 3233 nt
Organism: Raphanus sativus (radish)
Lineage: Eukaryota; Viridiplantae; Streptophyta; Magnoliopsida; Brassicales; Brassicaceae
Exons: 7
Source: RefSeq, a predicted model, not a curated record
AUUCAUUAACUUCGGUGUCUUGUUUUUGUUCUCGAGACCUUUGGUGUUUUUUUUUCUAACACCAAGGACCUUUGGUGUCUCUUUGAAAGUUGAAAGCUGCAAAAUAUCAGAACAUUCUCUCUCUAUUACCACUGAAUGUUCUGGUUUCAAACUCAUGGAUCUGUAAAACUCUACUCCGUUCGUUAAGAUCAGACAACUCCUCCGUUGAUUCUGAUGGUCGAUCUAAGCAAAGCUGUUCUUCAUAGAGCUAUUUCUUCUGUGUAAAGUAAAUUUCAGCGAAUACAACUUUAAUCUACUUAAGCAACAAAACAUCAUUUGAUGUUCUCUGUCUCCAUCGAUAAGCACUGUGUUUGGAAAGAAACUCGAUUUGUGUCUCUGAAAAGCCUCAACUCUGAUAUCUUUGUUGGAAGUAAUGAAAACGAAUGAAAGAGCCUUUUAGAUAAGUCAUUUAUCAGUUACAAUAAUAUAACUGAGUAGCAUCUGUUGUAUUUGUUCUUCAGGACGUAAAUCUAAAAAUUUUAUUUGUUUGUCAGGAAGGAGCAACUGGAACUAAAAGACAGCAAGUCUCUUCAGACAACUUCAAAUACAUGUUCUGAUUUUCUAUUGCAAGAAGUUUUAAAACUCAACUGCUGGGAGAAACUGCCAAAAAUGUUGACGACAUUGAGCAAAAGAAACAAAAUGCAUUCAGAAAAUAGUCUUUGGGUUGACUCACUUUAAAAAGAGAAUCAAAGAGUUCUUUGAAGCCACUCAAAACAUAUAAGAGAACAUCAUCUUCUUUGGUCUAUGGAGAUGAUUCGAACUUCAACACCAAGUCCAAGUGAAAGUGAAUAUGGGCUUUAAGAUUAUCAAAAAGAUUACAAAGAUAAGUAUACUUUUUCUAUUUUAGAGACUUAAAAAAUAGUUCAUGAAAAAUUUAAUUAGAGAUGAAGUUGGCAUUUGACUUCUCUGUUAAUAUCAUAUAAGGAGGAUUUACAAACAAUGUAUGCUUGAACUGAUGGUGAUAAUGUUUCAUCAAGGUCAGAAAGCAGAGUAUCAAAAGUAUCCUGUUGGACUUUGUAUAUUUGGGAAUUGAGUGUAGGACCUUCACAUGAACACACCAACUAUUCUUCCAGGACCCCUCAAAUCGUUAAUGCUUGUCACUUUACUUUCUCAUUAGAAGCUUUCGAUUUUGGAUUUGCAUAUUAGAACCCAUAGGUUUCUUUGACGGUAGUGGUUUCAAUAGGAAGAGAGUCUUGGAUAUUUAUAGAGGUUAAAGGGAGAGAUGCUUAGGGAUUAUUAUGAAACCUUGGGGUGUACUCCAAAUCGUAUCCCACCAGAUUUGCUAAACUAUAAAAUCGAUAUAAUUUAUUGUUAGUAUUGUUGCCAUUUUGAAAGCUCCAUAAUAUUCGGUGGGUGUUGCUCACGUUAAGUUUAUUACUUGAAUCAUUUGCAUCGCGAUAUUAGGUAACUUGUAUAAUCAUCUAGCAGAUAUUUUCUUUAUCAGAAAUAAAUUGUAUCGAUUAAUGACCAAGUAGUUAAAAACCAGAAUAUUCUUUCAAAUCUAUUGAAUCGAUAUCAAUAAUGGAAUACUAAAAAAUUGAAUGAGUUAAGCUAUAUAUCCGGGGAAAAUUUUGGUUUGCAAGGGAUAUUGGAAUUAGUCGCUGUUUAAAAGUUUAAUUCAAUAAAAAUACAUUUUUUAUUCUUUUUAAAUCCCCUAAUUGAUAAAUUCUUUAUAUACUGUAUUACUUUAGUUCAAAAUUGAUAUUUAAAUUAGUAUUAAGCUGCUAGUACAAUGUAAAUACUAUAUUUUUAAAAUUCAUAAACGAAAAUUUCAAAUUAUAUAGUAUUAGGAUAUAGGAUUUGUUCUGACUUUUAACUCACAAAAAUUUUAGUUAUAGUGGGUUUAUGUUGCAUCAAAAAUGGCUUUAUCAGAUUGGGCUUCAAUGUUGUUAUGAUUGGGUCGAAUCUGUUUAGAUUUUAAUGUUGUUGUAAUUGGACUUUAAAAUAGUAUUUUUCUGAUUGGGCAAUAAUAUGGACGAUUUUAGUUUUAAAGAAAGAAAAAAAAAACAGUGGCAUUUGGUUGUAAAUAUAUUGAAAAAACAGGGGCAGAAUCCUAGGAGGGAUUCUGCUUUAAUAGUAUAGAUUAAAAAAAUGCAUGAUCUAUGUCGGAUAUCACGUCGCCUGUUAUAAUUCACAUCCAAAGACUUGUAAAGGGAGGAGGACAAGCCAAGAGAAAUUUGUCAGUCUUCUCCACAGCUAAACUAUAGUCUUGAUACAUUCAUACUUUCUUGCUCUUAGACGCUCUUUGUAUUCAGCGGUUGCUCUUAACCACAUCAUCAAUCUAAUACAAUAAAGUUGGAAAAUCUGCUUCCUCAGACUGCCACGUCAGCAAGGAGGGGGAGGGCGUUCUGUGCUACGUGUCGACUCUUUAUGCUAACUCACGGUUGCUUUCAAAAGGUAAAUGGGCUUCAAUAUAUAUGCUAAAUCAACUGUUACCGGCUUCGUUAGUUCAAACCUAUUUUCCAACAUCAUCUCGGCCCAACAUAAUUCACCAUCUUCGUCGUCUGCUCAGUUUCUCCAACGAUCACCGACUGUGCAACCACCAUUAUAACGCAUUCUCUACACACUCAUAUCAAGACAUUAAGCUUCUUAAUCAUGUUGUCCCACUGACUAUUCUUUGAUUCAUCUUCCUCACCUUUUUUAUUAUUCUGAUUCUAUAUAUAGAGAUAAAUCGAGAACAAGCCUCUACACAUCUCAUCGAUUCUUCAUCCCAACUUUCACUAUAUGCGUCGUCUGACAUUCACUAAGUUUCUAUGGCUCCGCGAAACGACCAUUGUAAUGCUUUUCCUCGGCAUUCCACUUUCAAAAUUGUCUCAAAAGUCUAGGGUAGAUGAAAGAAACGACGACUAAGGCGGGUUUAGAUUUUAUAACAAGAAGUAGAUUUUUUCUUGCUUUGAAGAGAGGACACAAUCUUUGUCUUCUUAAACAUAAUCUCAAGUCUCACACUGACCGCCAUUUUAGGCCGAAUCUCUUCGAGAAACAGAGGAAAUUGAUAGAGGAUAUUGAUGAGUACGAUGGUGAUGAACAUCUCUUCCCCUGGAUUGAAAAGGCAUGUGUUAAAACCAGAGUUUGAAUAUUGGCUCAUGCGUGGAUACAGAGGAGAGAGGACAGAGAGUAAUUCUUUACCUGGGAAAAUGGACAACAUUCAAGGUUUUGACUCUGUGCUAGCCUCCAAACUAAACCAACUUAUUUAU